This 1699-nucleotide long non-coding RNA is filed under the name Phoenix dactylifera (date palm). RNAcentral describes it as "long non-coding RNA (PDAC_LNC013488)". Lineage: Eukaryota; Viridiplantae; Streptophyta; Magnoliopsida; Arecales; Arecaceae. The record is from RNAcentral.
AAUUCCGACAUUCCUCAAAGACCAUGGAAGCCAAGUAAAGCUUCUUCCUAGCCUACAUUGAAAGUGUUGCCUUGCCUUGUUGCUAUCACUGAGUACCUCUCUAACUCCCCAAACUACCUUUCGUUCAUUAAUGCACAAGUACGAUUAGUCUUCCUUGGCUCCACUAUUGUUGAUGGCCAUUUCCUAUCAUCACCAAGGUUUGCUCCAACUCCCUAAGACCUAUCCAAUUCCAAUGAUGACAUUACUCUCAUCUCUCCCCUGGCAAGCAUGUUGUUGCCACACCCAAUUGCUCAUCACGACCACUCCAACCUCCACUUUGAUGUCCAUUGUUUAUACAUUAAAAGCUCCAAGGUUUGCUCCAACCCCUGUCAUAUUGUUUAUACAUUAAAAGCUUGCAUGAUUGAAUUGACUGAAACAAGGUAUUGAAGUACCAUCUAUGUACCAGAGAAUAGAAAGGAAGAAAAUAUAACUGGAUAAUGUGGAAAAGUACUUCUUGUUCACACAACCUUCUUUAUAUUUUUCACUUUUGCACAAACACCUCAUUCACUUGUUUGCCAAUGGUGCAAUUCAAAUUGGGCCCUCUACUGUGGAAGAGCAUGCCUCUGCCACUGCGCCAACCAGCCAGAGAGCAUAAUCCCCAUGUCUUUGCAUUCUUUUCUUAUUAUUGAACAAAGGUUUUAUUAGUGCAUGUAUGACCUCAAUUUUAGAUGACGAAUGCACAGAAGACAUCACCAAGCCACAUAUGGGCAGCCUUUAAUCCAAAUUAUUUAAAAAAUAGAUUGUUUUUCUGAAAUAUCACCUGAGCAUGUUCCACCUGUUUUAUCAUGACUUACUGGUAAAGUUACUAUAGAAAUUAAUAGCACCUGUUCAUUGAUCAAGACUCCAUAAACAUGUAAGCUUCUUUGUUUCUUCCACACGCGAUAUCAUGCAAUUUUGUAAUUUCUACCAACAAGGGUACAUAACUCUUCCUCAAAUUCUCCUAAAUUCCAUCUUUUAAACAUAUUUUGAUCGCCAUUUUUCAAUGAUCUGCCAAAUGGAAGGGUAUGGACAGUUGGCAACAUGAUUAAUCAAAAAAAGUCUCUCAGUUAGCAAUCCAAAGUCCAAAGAAAGGCAUGUUUUUUAAUGUAAACUUAAUUUUGUAAACUACAAAACAUAUGCACAUCUAUGUUACUCAGAUCCUUCAAUUAAGUCCAAUGAACCCACAUGGCCACACCCAACACUAAAACACAAAUACUGGUAUGAGUGUAUGACACUUGGACAUGGCUCCAUAAGAAUGAGUUCUUAUUGGAAGUAUCCGAUGCUUAGACAUGCACUGCACACUUCACACUUGUCCAAAUCCAUCUAACAUAGAUGUACAUCCAGCACUUGUAUAAUUUCAUAUAUCUUUACCUCUAAAUUAGAGAAGAAAUGUCAGAAGUUUAAUACUGUCCAGCCAAGUCUCAUGUUGCAGAUACAGCGAAGAUUACUAGAAAAAGUUACAUGAGGGUAUGCCAUUUUGAUUUAUCUAUUAACAACAGGAAGCUAAGGCCACAGCAUGACAUGAUUUCUCUAAAACAGCCAACGCAUAGAAGAUGCAAUAAAACAACAAACCUCUUGCAAGCUACCAAUUUCACGAGAGCCUGUUUACUUUCUCCUGCUUCCGUGUAAGAAAAAUUCACCUGCAGAGAAACCAUUUUAAGUGUAAUACAACAAAAAUGAG